GACGAACGCUGGCGGCGUGCCUAAUACAUGCAAGUAGAACGCUGAAGGAGGAGCUUGCUUCCAUGGAUGAGUUGCGAACGGGUGAGUAACGCGUAGGUAACCUGCCUGGUAGAGGGGGAUAACUAUUGGAAACGAUAGCUAAUACCGCAUAAUAGUAGAUGUCGCAUGACAUUUGCUUAAAAGGUGCAAUUGCAUCACUACCAGAUGGACCUGCGUUGUAUUAGCUAGUUGGUGAGGUAACGGCUCACCAAGGCAACGAUACAUAGCCGACCUGAGAGGGUGAUCGGCCACACUGGGACUGAGACACGGCCCAGACUCCUACGGGAGGCAGCAGUAGGGAAUCUUCGGCAAUGGACGGAAGUCUGACCGAGCAACGCCGCGUGAGUGAAGAAGGUUUUCGGAUCGUAAAGCUCUGUUGUAAGAGAAGAACGAGUGUGAGAGUGGAAAGUUCACACUGUGACGGUAUCUUACCAGAAAGAGACGGCUAACUACGUG
RNAcentral lists this ribosomal RNA (495 nucleotides) under uncultured bacterium. Its description in RNAcentral is "partial 16S ribosomal RNA". It matches the Rfam family "Bacterial small subunit ribosomal RNA", at positions 28 to 507 of the family's 1533-position model. The record is from RNAcentral.